AUGGAGCAAGAACAAUGCAAAGAAAAGAAAAAGAAGAAGAAGAAGGACACUAGUAGUGAGAGUGAUGAGUUAAACUCUUCAUCAUCUUCUUCCCUCCCUUCAUCUUCAUCGGAAGAUGAAAGAUGCAGCAAAAAAAAAUCAAAAAAGAAGAGAACCCAAAAGAAACGGUCAAGAUCUGCAUUCUCUAGUUCUGCAGUAAGAGGUAAAUUCAAAAGACACUUAUUAAUUUGAAUUUAUUCUUGAUGAAGAUGAUUUCGCCUGAUGUUUUCAUAGGCAGAGCGUGUGUAGGAAGGCUGGGGAAGGCUUAUUCAUUCCACCACAGCAAAAAUGCUGGCAGCAACAACACUGUAGCCAGUAUAAAAGUUAUGCCUUCUUUUUUUGUGUAUACAUUUGGGUGGAAUUAUGAAACUCUGCCCCCACAGACUGAUGUAGAUUUGUGGGGGCGUGUUUAAACGAGUCAUUUUAGGAGGCAUGGCUGAGCCUUAACGUUUAUAAAGAAUAUAAAGAAUCUCUUUGGGUUUGAGACUUUGAGCUUUGUAACUCAGCAGAUCUUAUACAUGCAGAAACAGUUACAUAACACACUGAAGAAAAAUGAAACUCAUUUGACCCCUUUAAGGUAGAAUACGCUCACCAUAAAUAUAGAAGUUAUCCAAAGGUAAAAGAUGAAAAACCACACUCUCAAGAUAUCCUUCCAUAAAUUUUUUCGUACCAUGUCUUACACAGAUUAAUUUCGGCCUAAGCCAUCAACAGUGUGCCACAAAUUUAUGAAAGGAUAUCUUGAGAGUGUGGUUUUUCCUCUUUUACCUUUGGAUAACUUCUUUAUUACUCGCACCCAUUAAAUGACCUGGGAGUUGAGCGUGCCUUCUCCACUAUAAUUCAAGGCUAAAUAAAAUCUUAAUUGUACAGUCAGCUUAAUUGAUUAACAGAAUUUUGUGAGAUUGCAAUUAAUUAAGAUGAGUGACAGCUUAAUGAUAAUAAAGGGAGUGCUUUUAUGUACACUUUCUAGAUGAUAAUCAACUCAAAAAUGUUUUUUUUUUUUUUUUUGUGCUGCAUUAGGUAAGGCAGUGGUGAGGACAGUGGUUCUCAAUCCGUGCCAUCGUGCCCCCAGCCCGCUCUGCACAUUAUGGAUGUUUCUUAUUUAACACAUCUGAUUCAGAUCAUCAGCACGUUAGAAGAGAGCCACUUGCAUGAACUGUGUUCUGAUUAACUGCGUAAUCCCUAGUGUUCACUUUUCCCUACUCGCCGAGCAUGGGAAAUCCAUUAAAAUGUAUUUCAUUUCAGAAAACUUUCAUUCAUGGUAUUCAGUGUCUUCACACAUACAAAACUUACUAGAGAAGUGUGAAGUGUAACAUAAAAUACCUUCAUAAAUAAAAAAAAAAUGUAAAUUCACGUCUUGCGUACUUAAAUGCAUUUUAAAUGGAACAAUGGUAAAAUUUUCUUCACAAGGCACUUAUGGUAAAAAAGAACAAACAACUGAAGUGAUAAGAGAUUCAUAUAAAAUGUGGGGGGGUGAGGGGUUUGCGCCAUUCCAAAUCAUGCAUAUGCUUGCUUCAAAUUAUAAUGAUUUGUGAAAAUAACCACUUUAAUAACGAGUGUUUAUGUUAGGAUGUGUAGGUUGUUGAUAGGAGACACAGAACCAUUUUAUGACAUACUAUUUGAAUGUGUUUUUAAGGAGGAAUCGCAUCUAUCCUUACCCUAAAGUUGGUUCACCCUCUGCCUAUGGAUGUUUUGUAAAAUUUGUAAUGCAUUGACAAACUGGGUAUCACUUUCAGUGUCCUUGUUAGACAUUAAAUGUAGCACCUUUAGUGAUAACUAUGAAUUAUGGAUAAUUACAUGCAACUGAACCUAAACCAAAGUCUAACCCUCUAACAAGUAAGUGCUUGUUGUUAUUUAGUAUUACUUAGUACUAAAAUGUAUAACGCUGUAACAAGAAGACCUUAAAAUGUAGUGUCACCACAAACGGUUUACUUAUUUUAUUUUUUUACAUUUAACAGCCAGGUGUCCAGAUGAUGUUCUCAAGAGAUACAAAAAAGUUCUCCGUGCGUUUAAAAAGGAAGGAAGCAUGACAAGAGCAUUCAUGAAGGUCGGAGUGGACAGAAACACCCUUGCCCUCACUGCAGUUGUGGCUGAGAUUCAAAUUAUCAGCCCAGAAUUUUAUCGCUCCAUCCCUCAGUUCCAGCCUCGUCAAGAGAAGCUUUUUGAUUUUGCCCUGAGGUGCUCAGAUGCCUUGACAACUG
This is a long non-coding RNA of Cyprinus carpio carpio, 2237 nucleotides long. Lineage: Eukaryota; Metazoa; Chordata; Actinopteri; Cypriniformes; Cyprinidae. The record is from Ensembl.